GGGCCGGUAGCUCAGCCUCGUAUGAGCACUCGCUUCGCAAGCGAGGGGUCGCGGGUUCAAAUCCCGCCCGGUCCA
RNAcentral lists this transfer RNA (75 nucleotides) under Hadesarchaea archaeon. Its description in RNAcentral is "tRNA-Ala". It matches the Rfam family "tRNA". From Rfam's summary of the family: Transfer RNA (tRNA) molecules are approximately 80 nucleotides in length. Their secondary structure includes four short double-helical elements and three loops (D, anti-codon, and T loops). The record is from RNAcentral. Lineage: Archaea; Methanobacteriati; Hadarchaeota (SeqCode); Hadarchaeia (SeqCode).